RNAcentral lists this ribosomal RNA (520 nucleotides) under uncultured Glomeraceae. RNAcentral's name for it is "SSU rRNA". It matches the Rfam family "Eukaryotic small subunit ribosomal RNA", at positions 569 to 1092 of the family's 1831-position model. Lineage: Eukaryota; Fungi; Glomeromycota; Glomeromycetes; Glomerales; Glomeraceae. The record is from RNAcentral.
AGCAGCCGCGGUAAUUCCAGCUCCAAUAGCGUAUAUUAAAGUUGCUGCAGUUAAAAAGCUCGUAGUUGAAUUUCGGGAUCAAUAUGUUGGUCGUGCCUCGGUACGUACUGGCUUAUUGGUUUCUCCCUUCUGACGAACCAUGAUGUCAUUUAUUUGGUGUUAUGGGGAAUCAGAACUGUUACUUUGAAAAAAUUAGAGUGUUUAAAGCAGGCUCACGCUUGAAUACAUUAGCAUGGAAUAAUGAAAUAGGACGUUUGAUUCUAUUUUGUUGGUUUCUAGGAUCGACGUAAUGAUUAAUAGGGAUAGUUGGGGGCAUUAGUAUUCAAUUGUCAGAGGUGAAAUUCUUGGAUUUAUUGAAGACUAACUACUGCGAAAGCAUUUGCCAAGGAUGUUUUCAUUAAUCAAGAACGAAAGUUAGGGGAUCGAAGACGAUCAGAUACCGUCGUAGUCUUAACCAUAAACUAUGCCGACUAGGGAUCGGAUGAUGUUGAUUUUUUAAUGACUCAUUCGGCACCUUACG